Molecule: transfer RNA, 68 nt
Filed under: Marmota monax (woodchuck)
Lineage: Eukaryota; Metazoa; Chordata; Mammalia; Rodentia; Sciuridae
Description: tRNA.Ala
Source: RNAcentral
GGAUUGUGGCUCAGUGGCAGAGUGCUUGCUUAGCAUGUGUAAGGGCCUGGGUUCGAUCCUCAGCAUCA